Molecule: long non-coding RNA, 345 nt
Organism: Vicia villosa (hairy vetch)
Lineage: Eukaryota; Viridiplantae; Streptophyta; Magnoliopsida; Fabales; Fabaceae
Exons: 3
Source: RefSeq, a predicted model, not a curated record
AAUUGAUCUCUUCAUGUUUUAUCAUUCUCUAUUUAGUUAUGGCUCUCCCAAAUCAAGGUCUAGAUUUACAAAUUUCAAAUUCAUCAAAUACAAGUAAGCAACAAGAAGAAUAUACAAAUACCAUAAAAAUUGGAAGAGGAAGAACUAUUGGCUUAGGUAUUGUAAAAAAGAAAAAGAAGAGCGUUAUUGGAAAAUUGCAAUAUAAUUUUGGAACUUGAUCACAAAGAUAAUAACAUGACUCCAGAAAAAUUGUCAGAUAAGAGUAUUUCAACUAUUUCAUCAAGAAAGCUUCGAAGCAAAAAUAUAAAGAUGAAUUAAUAAUCAUGUUGGCGAGAGUCAUAAUUU